UACCUUGUUACGCCUUCACCCCAAUCAUCUGUCCCACCUUCGGCGGCUGGUUCCAUAAGGUUACCUCACCGACUUCGGGUGUUACAAACUCUCGUGGUGUGACGGGCGGUGUGUACAAGGCCCGGGAACGUAUUCACCGCGGCAUGCUGAUCCGCGAUUACUAGCAAUUCCGGCUUCAUGCAGGCGAGUUGCAGCCUGCAAUCCGAACUGAGAAUGGCUUUAUGGGAUUCGCUCAACCUCGCGGUUUUGCUGCCCUUUGUACCAUCCAUUGUAGCACGUGUGUAGCCCAGGUCAUAAGGGGCAUGAUGAUUUGACGUCGUCCCCACCUUCCUCCGGUUUGUCACCGACAGUCACCUUAGAGUGCCCAACUGAAUGCUGGCAACUAAGAUCAAGGGUUGCGCUCGUUGCGGGACUUA
This 416-nucleotide ribosomal RNA is filed under the name uncultured Bacillus sp. Its description in RNAcentral is "partial 16S ribosomal RNA". The record is from RNAcentral. Lineage: Bacteria; Bacillati; Bacillota; Bacilli; Caryophanales; Bacillaceae.